GGGUUGUGAGGUUAAGCGACUAAGCGUACACGGUGGAUGCCCUGGCAGUCAGAGGCGAUGAAGGACGUGCUAAUCUGCGAUAAGCGUCGGUAAGGUGAUAUGAACCGUUAUAACCGGCGAUUUCCGAAUGGGGAAACCCAGUGUGAUUCGUCACACUAUCAUUAACUGAAUCCAUAGGUUAAUGAGGCGAACCGGGGGAACUGAAACAUCUAAGUACCCCGAGGAAAAGAAAUCAACCGAGAUUCCCCCAGUAGCGGCGAGCGAACGGGGAGCAGCCCAGAGCCUGAAUCAGUGUGUGUGUUAGUGGAAGCGUCUGGAAAGGCGCGCGAUACAGGGUGACAGCCCCGUACACAAAAAUGCACAUACUGUGAGCUCGAUGAGUAGGGCGGGACACGUGGUAUCCUGUCUGAAUAUGGGGGGACCAUCCUCCAAGGCUAAAUACUCCUGACUGACCGAUAGUGAACCAGUACCGUGAGGGAAAGGCGAAAAGAACCCCGGCGAGGGGAGUGAAAAAGAACCUGAAACCGUGUACGUACAAGCAGUGGGAGCACGCUUAGGCGUGUGACUGCGUACCUUUUGUAUAAUGGGUCAGCGACUUAUAUUCUGUAGCAAGGUUAACCGAAUAGGGGAGCCGAAGGGAAACCGAGUCUUAACUGGGCGUUAAGUUGCAGGGUAUAGACCCGAAACCCGGUGAUCUAGCCAUGGGCAGGUUGAAGGUUGGGUAACACUAACUGGAGGACCGAACCGACUAAUGUUGAAAAAUUAGCGGAUGACUUGUGGCUGGGGGUGAAAGGCCAAUCAAACCGGGAGAUAGCUGGUUCUCCCCGAAAGCUAUUUAGGUAGCGCCUCGUGAAUUCAUCUCCGGGGGUAGAGCACUGUUUCGGCAAGGGGGUCAUCCCGACUUACCAACCCGAUGCAAACUGCGAAUACCGGAGAAUGUUAUCACGGGAGACACACGGCGGGUGCUAACGUCCGUCGUGAAGAGGGAAACAACCCAGACCGCCAGCUAAGGUCCCAAAGUCAUGGUUAAGUGGGAAACGAUGUGGGAAGGCCCAGACAGCCAGGAUGUUGGCUUAGAAGCAGCCAUCAUUUAAAGAAAGCGUAAUAGCUCACUGGUCGAGUCGGCCUGCGCGGAAGAUGUAACGGGGCUAAACCAUGCACCGAAGCUGCGGCAGCGACGCUGAUGCGUUGUUGGGUAGGGGAGCGUUCUGUAAGCCUGUGAAGGUGUGCUGUGAGGCAUGCUGGAGGUAUCAGAAGUGCGAAUGCUGACAUAAGUAACGAUAAAGCGGGUGAAAAGCCCGCUCGCCGGAAGACCAAGGGUUCCUGUCCAACGUUAAUCGGGGCAGGGUGAGUCGACCCCUAAGGCGAGGCCGAAAGGCGUAGUCGAUGGGAAACAGGUUAAUAUUCCUGUACUUGGUGUUACUGCGAAGGGGGGACGGAGAAGGCUAUGUUGGCCGGGCGACGGUUGUCCCGGUU
This 1476-nucleotide ribosomal RNA is filed under the name Escherichia coli. Its description in RNAcentral is "partial 23S ribosomal RNA". It matches the Rfam family "Bacterial large subunit ribosomal RNA", at positions 1 to 1512 of the family's 2925-position model. Lineage: Bacteria; Pseudomonadati; Pseudomonadota; Gammaproteobacteria; Enterobacterales; Enterobacteriaceae. The record is from RNAcentral.